CUAAGAUAGUAUGAGAAAGUUCUGAUCUUGACAGUUCAUGUAACAUUCAAUCAAUUAUACCAUUGCUCUAUCUCUAAAGUUUUUUUUUCUCCUUUUCUCAGUGUCUUACCAAGAAUGAAAGGCAACCUGUGUAAAAACUAUGGGCUUUCUAGUAUAAAUAAAAACUACUCAUCUCCAGAAAAUAAACAAUGACUGCUAAGAUGAUUGAAAAAAGAAAGGAGAAGAAAGUAGCUUGUAAAAGCGUGUGAAAUUCAUUCACGUUGGAAUCUCCUACAGGCACUUCAGGUCUUCAGACUGUAAACAUUUUAAGUGUGAUUGCUGUGAAUGAAGGAAACCCAGAGCCAUCAUGACAAGCCUAAACUCAAAGGGGACUGAUUUCUUCUACACUGAAUGUUUCAUUAGUGACAGGGCCCAGAUAAUAAAGAAUUGUGAUCACUUCCUGUGA
This 445-nucleotide long non-coding RNA is filed under the name Pan troglodytes (chimpanzee). RNAcentral's name for it is "lincRNA". Lineage: Eukaryota; Metazoa; Chordata; Mammalia; Primates; Hominidae. The record is from RNAcentral.